CCUACGGGUGGCAGCAGUGGGGAAUAUUGCACAAUGGGGGAAACCCUGAUGCAGCGACGCCGCGUGAGUGAAGAAGUAUUUCGGUACGUAAAGCUCUAUCAGCAGGGAAGAAAAUGACGGUACCUGACUAAGAAGCCCCUGAGAACUACGUGCCAGCAGCCGCGGUAAUACGUAGGGGGCAAGCGUUAUCCGGAGUUACUGGGUGGAAGGGGAGCGUAGACGGCAGCGCAAGUCUGGAGUGAAAUCCCAUGGCUUAACCAUGGAACUGCUUUGGAAACGGUGCAGCUGGAGUGCAGGAGAGGAAAGUGGAAUUCCGAGGGGAGGGGUGAAAGGCGUAGAUAUUAGGAGGAACAUCAGGGGCGAAGGCGGCUUACUGGACUAUAACUGACGCUGAGGCGCGAAAGCGUGGGGAGCAAACAGGAUUAGAUACCCUGGUAGUC
Molecule: ribosomal RNA, 440 nt
Filed under: uncultured bacterium
Lineage: Bacteria
Description: partial 16S ribosomal RNA
Rfam family: Bacterial small subunit ribosomal RNA
Source: RNAcentral